UUUACAGCUAAUGCACUAAUUAAGCGAUUCUAACAGAUGGUAAUAAAACAAAAUUUUUUUCAGUCCCCUUAACAACUCUUGCUGAUUUCAUUUGAAUGACUAGUCAAAAGGGCACAAUUACUUCUAGAAAGUUGUACUGAAUCAAUGUCUAUCACUUUGUGUGUAUUGUCUUGGCAAGGAGAGUUAGCCAAUGCAAUUGGACUAUAUAGGAUUUGAAGUGAUCUUCUUUCUCCAAAUGAGCAUCAGCCACUUGUCCUACUUCAGCUUUUGAAUGUAUCUAAUAAGUGAGAGAAAAAUGAUGUAGGGAUGAGUUGUUCAUCUCAGAGAUAUGGUUUCUUCCAUAGACUCUAAAAUGCACUUUGAGAACCUCAAAUCUGUGUUGCACUUGAAUUUUCAUGUGCCAGGCAACAAAUCAACCAUUCACAUUUGGUGGAGAAGGAAUAUCUUGGACAAGUCAAACUGGUCAGUGCAAAGCCAUUUCUUAAACCUUUGUGAACGUGAACACAAUAACUCUACAAUCUAACAUGACAGCUAUCUUUUAAGGCCCUAAAUAGAGUCAUAUGGCAACGAAGAUUAAUAUGUUUUAAUGUUUGAUUGGGAUAUGAGCUAUAUUUGGGUGUCAAAUAACUUGAUUCAGUUCCAACUCUUUUUUUCUUCAUUUCUUAUGCUUGAAGGUUUGGGAAA
This 684-nucleotide unclassified non-coding RNA is filed under the name Hevea brasiliensis (rubber tree). Lineage: Eukaryota; Viridiplantae; Streptophyta; Magnoliopsida; Malpighiales; Euphorbiaceae. The record is from RNAcentral.